AUGAACGCUAGCUACAGGCUUAACACAUGCAAGUCGAGGGGCAGCAUGGUCUUAGCUUGCUAAGGCCGAUGGCGACCGGCGCACGGGUGAGUAACACGUAUCCAACCUGCCGUCUACUCUUGGACAGCCUUCUGAAAGGAAGAUUAAUACAAGAUGGCAUCAUGAGUCCGCAUGUUCACAUGAUUAAAGGUAUUCCGGUAGACGAUGGGGAUGCGUUCCAUUAGAUAGUAGGCGGGGUAACGGCCCACCUAGUCUUCGAUGGAUAGGGGUUCUGAGAGGAAGGUCCCCCACAUUGGAACUGAGACACGGUCCAAACUCCUACGGGAGGCAGCAGUGAGGAAUAUUGGUCAAUGGGCGAGAGCCUGAACCAGCCAAGUAGCGUGAAGGAUGACUGCCCUAUGGGUUGUAAACUUCUUUUAUAAAGGAAUAAAGUCGGGUAUGCAUACCCGUUUGCAUGUACUUUAUGAAUAAGGAUCGGCUAACUCCGUGCCAGCAGCCGCGGUAAUACGGAGGAUCCGAGCGUUAUCCGGAUUUAUUGGGUUUAAAGGGAGCGUAGAUGGAUGUUUAAGUCAGUUGUGAAAGUUUGCGGCUCAACCGUAAAAUUGCAGUUGAUACUGGAUAUCUUGAGUGCAGUUGAGGCAGGCGGAAUUCGUGGUGUAGCGGUGAAAUGCUUAGAUAUCACGAAGAACUCCGAUUGCGAAGGCAGCCUGCUAAGCUGCAACUGACAUUGAGGCUCGAAAGUGUGGGUAUCAAACAGGAUUAGAUACCCUGGUAGUCCACACGGUAAACGAUGAAUACUCGCUGUUUGCGAUAUACGGCAAGCGGCCAAGCGAAAGCGUUAAGUACUCCACCUGGGGAGUACGCCGGCAACGGUGAAACUCAAAGGAAUUGACGGGGGCCCGCACAAGCGGAGGAACAUGUGGUUUAAUUCGAUGAUACGCGAGGAACCUUACCCGGGCUUAAAUUGCAGAUGAAUUACGGUGAAAGCCGUAAGCCGCAAGGCAUCUGUGAAGGUGCUGCAUGGUUGUCGUCAGCUCGUGCCGUGAGGUGUCGGCUUAAGUGCCAUAACGAGCGCAACCCUUGUUGUCAGUUACUAACAGGUUCCGCUGAGGACUCUGACAAGACUGCCAUCGUAAGAUGUGAGGAAGGUGGGGAUGACGUCAAAUCAGCACGGCCCUUACGUCCGGGGCUACACACGUGUUACAAUGGGGGGUACAGAGGGCCGCUACCACGCGAGUGGAUGCCAAUCCCCAAAACCUCUCUCAGUUCGGACUGGAGUCUGCAACCCGACUCCACGAAGCUGGAUUCGCUAGUAAUCGCGCAUCAGCCACGGCGCGGUGAAUACGUUCCCGGGCCUUGUACACACCGCCCGUCAAGCCAUGGGAGCCGGGGGUACCUGAAGUGCGUAACCGCGAGGAGCGCCCUAGGGUAAAACUGGUGACUGGG
Molecule: ribosomal RNA, 1446 nt
Filed under: uncultured organism
Description: SSU rRNA
Rfam family: Bacterial small subunit ribosomal RNA
Source: RNAcentral